AGCAGCCGCGGUAAUUCCAGCUCCAAUAGCGUAUAUUAAAGUUGUUGCAGUUAAAAAGCUCGUAGUUGAACUUCGGGAUCAAUUAGUUGGUCAUGCCUUGGUAUGUACUGAUUUUAUUGGUUCUCACCUUCUAAAGAACUAUAAUGUCAUUUAUUUGAUGUUAUAGGGAAUUAGGACUGUUACCUUGAAAAAAUUAGAGUGUUUAAAGCAGGCUCACGCUUGAAUACAUUAGCAUGGAAUAAUGAAAUAGGACAUCGCAUUCUAUUUUGUUGGUUUCUAGGAUCGAUGUAAUGAUUAAUAGGGAUAGUUGGGGGCAUUAGUAUUCAAUUGUCAGAGGUGAAAUUCUUGGAUUUAUUGAAGACUAACUACUGCGAAAGCAUUUGCCAAGGAUGUUUUCAUUAAUCAAGAACGAAAGUUAGGGGAUCGAAGACGAUCAGAUACCGUCGUAGUCUUAACCAUAAACUAUGCCGACUAGGGAUCGGAUGAUGUUGAUUUUUAAUGACUC
RNAcentral lists this ribosomal RNA (505 nucleotides) under uncultured Glomus. Its description in RNAcentral is "SSU rRNA". It matches the Rfam family "Eukaryotic small subunit ribosomal RNA", at positions 569 to 1077 of the family's 1831-position model. The record is from RNAcentral. Lineage: Eukaryota; Fungi; Glomeromycota; Glomeromycetes; Glomerales; Glomeraceae.